RNAcentral lists this ribosomal RNA (439 nucleotides) under uncultured bacterium. RNAcentral's name for it is "partial 16S ribosomal RNA". It matches the Rfam family "Bacterial small subunit ribosomal RNA", at positions 339 to 795 of the family's 1533-position model. The record is from RNAcentral.
CUACGGGAUGCACCAGUGAGGAAUAUUGCACAAUGGGGGGAACCCUGAUGCAGCAACGCCGCGUGGAGGAUGACGCAUUUCGGUGUGUAAACUCCUUUUAUAUGUCAAGAAAAUGACGGUAGCAUAUGAAUAAGCACCGGCUAACUCCGUGCCAGCAGCCGCGGUAAUACGGAGGGUGCAAGCGUUACUCGGAAUCACUGGGCGUAAAGGACGCGUAGGCGGGUUGGAAAGUCAGGUGUGAAAUCCUACAGCUUAACUGUAGAACUGCACUUGAAACUUCCAAUCUAGAGUAUGGGAGGGGGAGAUGGAAUUAGUGGUGUAGGGGUAAAAUCCGUAGAUAUCAGGAGGAAUACCUAAAGCGAAGGCGAUCUCCUGGAACAUAACUGACGCUAAGGCGUGAAAGCGUGGGGAGCAAACAGGAUUAGAUACCCGAGUAGUC